AUUGAACGCUGGCGGCAGGCCUAACACAUGCAAGUCGAGCGGAUGAAGGGAGCUUGCUCCUGGAUUCAGCGGCGGACGGGUGAGUAAUGCCUAGGAAUCUGCCUGGUAGUGGGGGAUAACGUCCGGAAACGGGCGCUAAUACCGCAUACGUUCUGAGGGAGAAAGUGGGGGAUCUUCGGACCUCACGCUAUCAGAUGAGCCUAGGUCGGAUUAGCUAGUUGGUGGGGUAAAGGCCUACCAAGGCGACGAUCCGUAACUGGUCUGAGAGGAUGACCAGUCACACUGGAACUGAGACACGGUCCAGACUCCUACGGGAGGCAGCGGUGGGGAAUAUUGGACAAUGGGCGAAAGCCUGAUCCAGCCAUGCCGCGUGUGUGAAGAAGGUCUUCGGAUUGUAAAGCACUUUAAGUUGGGAGGAAGGGCAGUAAGUUAAUACCUUGCUGUUUUGACGUUACCAACAGAAUAAGCACCGGCUAACUUCGUG
RNAcentral lists this ribosomal RNA (484 nucleotides) under uncultured bacterium. RNAcentral describes it as "partial 16S ribosomal RNA". It matches the Rfam family "Bacterial small subunit ribosomal RNA", at positions 30 to 507 of the family's 1533-position model. The record is from RNAcentral.